CAUGCAACUGCAUUCCAGUACACUCCUUUAGGUAGAACCAUUCUUGGACCAGCUAAAAAUGUCAGGUCAAUUACCAGAGAUCAUCUUCAGAGCUACAUACAAACACACUACACUGCUCCCCGAAUGGUCAUUGUAGCUUCUGGAGCGGUUAAGCAUGAGGAAGUUGUUGAGCAAGUAAAGAAGUUGUUUAAUAAGUUAUCAGCUGAUCCAACCACUGCUUCUCAGCU
RNAcentral lists this unclassified non-coding RNA (227 nucleotides) under Hevea brasiliensis (rubber tree). The record is from RNAcentral. Lineage: Eukaryota; Viridiplantae; Streptophyta; Magnoliopsida; Malpighiales; Euphorbiaceae.